RNAcentral lists this ribosomal RNA (253 nucleotides) under uncultured bacterium. RNAcentral's name for it is "partial 16S ribosomal RNA". It matches the Rfam family "Bacterial small subunit ribosomal RNA", at positions 524 to 776 of the family's 1533-position model. The record is from RNAcentral.
GACGAACCGAGCGAACGUUGUUCGGAAUAACUGGGCUUAAAGGGCGCGUAGGCGGGCCGCCAAGUUCGAGGUGAAAUCCUCCGGCUCAACCGGAGAACUGCCUCGAAUACUGGAGGUCUCGAGGGUGGUAGGGGCAUGCGGAACUGUGGGUGGAGCGGUGAAAUGCGUUGAUAUCCACAGGAACUCCGGUGGCGAAGGCGGCAUGCUGGACCACAUCUGACGCUGAGGCGCGAAAGCCAGGGGAGCAAACGGG